RNAcentral lists this ribosomal RNA (259 nucleotides) under uncultured prokaryote. Its description in RNAcentral is "partial 16S ribosomal RNA". It matches the Rfam family "Bacterial small subunit ribosomal RNA", at positions 524 to 782 of the family's 1533-position model. The record is from RNAcentral.
UACGGAGGAUCCGAGCGUUAUCCGGAUUUAUUGGGUUUAAAGGGUGCGCAGGCGGAAGAUUAAGUCGGUGGUGAAAUUUUGCAGCUCAACUGUAAAAGUGCCAUUGAUACUGGUUUUCUUGAGUGUGGAUGAAGUAGGCGGAAUUUGUGGUGUAGCGGUGAAAUGCAUAGAUAUCACGAGGAACUCCGAUUGCGCAGGCAGCUUACUAAACUACAACUGACGCUCAUGCACGAAGGCGUGGGGAUCAAACAGGAUUAGA